Molecule: long non-coding RNA, 329 nt
Organism: Ornithodoros turicata
Lineage: Eukaryota; Metazoa; Arthropoda; Arachnida; Ixodida; Argasidae
Exons: 3
Source: RefSeq, a predicted model, not a curated record
GCCGCAGCGAUCAUGGCAACUUCUUGCAAUUACGGUCGUACCAACCGUACUGGCAAGGUUACAGGGCCUAAACGUAUACAGGUUUCGUCAUGAGGGCUGCCCAGUGAAUAAUCUGUGCAGUGUGAUACGGCUGGGUGUACAGGUUACUUCACAGCUGCCUCGACAUACUCAAGAAAUGGGUGCAGAACCUGCGUAAUGCCCGCAAACUUUGACUACCACAGCAUCUCCAGAAAGUAAAGGGAUAUGUGUCACAUGGGAUUUUUAAAGGCAUUCACAGUAUAUAAUACCUUGUAUGAACUGUUGUAGAUCUAAGCAGCUUCUACAGUACA